AACCUGUGGUGAACAGAUUCUGACAAAUUAAUUCAGCUGAUUUAUACUACUUUACCAUUCCAUUUAUUCUGAGGUG
Small nucleolar RNA from Acipenser ruthenus (sterlet), 76 nucleotides. RefSeq annotates it as small nucleolar RNA SNORD47. NCBI's taxonomy places the organism in Eukaryota, Metazoa, Chordata, Actinopteri, Acipenseriformes, Acipenseridae. The transcript has a single exon. The record is from RefSeq and is a predicted model, not a curated record.